GGGGAUUUAGCUCAGUGGUAGAGCACUUGCUUAGCAAGCACAAGGCCCUGGGUUCAGUCCUCA
This 63-nucleotide transfer RNA is filed under the name Neotoma lepida (desert woodrat). It matches the Rfam family "tRNA", at positions 1 to 62 of the family's 71-position model. Rfam says of the family: Transfer RNA (tRNA) molecules are approximately 80 nucleotides in length. Their secondary structure includes four short double-helical elements and three loops (D, anti-codon, and T loops). The record is from Rfam by way of RNAcentral. Lineage: Eukaryota; Metazoa; Chordata; Mammalia; Rodentia; Cricetidae.